GAGACAGCAGUAGCCGCGGUAAUACGGAGGGAGCUAGCGUUGUUCGGAAUUACUGGGCGUAAAGCGCACGUAGGCGGCUUUGUAAGUUAGAGGUGAAAGCCUGGAGCUCAACUCCAGAAUUGCCUUUAAGACUGCAUCGCUUGAAUCCAGGAGAGGUGAGUGGAAUUCCGAGUGUAGAGGUGAAAUUCGUAGAUAUUCGGAAGAACACCAGUGGCGAAGGCGGCUCACUGGACUGGUAUUGACGCUGAGGCACGAAAGCGUGGGGAGCAAACAGGAUUAGAUACCCGAGUAGUCCCUGUCUCUUAUAU
RNAcentral lists this ribosomal RNA (308 nucleotides) under uncultured bacterium. Its description in RNAcentral is "partial 16S ribosomal RNA". It matches the Rfam family "Bacterial small subunit ribosomal RNA", at positions 505 to 809 of the family's 1533-position model. The record is from RNAcentral.